AGGUGGAUACCGGGGAGUUAGAGGCAGAGGUAACUCGAGGGGUUCAAAUUAUUCCAGUGGCUUCAAAGCAAACUUGACUAACUUGGCAACGCAAGAAGAAGGGACGUCAACAACCUCUCAAGGGGAGUCGAAGAGUAGAAGCCAGGAGGACAACACCUUUGGGAACUUUGCCCACUUUGUCUACACAGGGGAAGGAGAGGAUGACUGGAAGGAAACUUGGGACAGGAACUAGGCGUAGUGGAUUGUGGUAUAUGGAUCGUGAUGUGUCUAGGUCUGGUGCUAGUCCUAUUUUGGAUGUAUUAGUUGGAGUAAGUGAGACAAUGGCGAUGAUCCAUCACUGUCGCAUGGGGCAUAUGGCUUUUGAUAAGAUGAGUAAGAUGUUUCCUGAUGUAAUGCGUGGAGUAGACAAGAGUAAGCUUGUGUGUGAUGCAUGUGAAUAUGCAAAGCACACAAGAAUCUCAUAUUUGAGUAAGGGGCUAAGGAGUAUAUCCCCGUUUAUGCUGAU
Long non-coding RNA from Triticum aestivum (bread wheat), 505 nucleotides. RefSeq lists it as uncharacterized. The record is from RefSeq and is a predicted model, not a curated record. The transcript is spliced from 2 exons. Lineage: Eukaryota; Viridiplantae; Streptophyta; Magnoliopsida; Poales; Poaceae.